AGCGAACGCUGGCGGCAGGCCUAACACAUGCAAGUCGAACGGAUCCUUCGGGAUUAGUGGCGGACGGGUGAGUAACACGUGGGAACGUGCCCUUUGGUUCGGAACAACUCAGGGAAACUUGAGCUAAUACCGGAUGUGCCCUUCGGGGGAAAGAUUUAUCGCCAUUGGAGCGGCCCGCGUAGGAUUAGCUAGUUGGUGAG
This 200-nucleotide ribosomal RNA is filed under the name uncultured bacterium. RNAcentral describes it as "partial 16S ribosomal RNA". It matches the Rfam family "Bacterial small subunit ribosomal RNA", at positions 29 to 256 of the family's 1533-position model. The record is from RNAcentral.